UACAUUGUGGGAACAGAUGUAAUCAAGUUCUUCCUGGGCUGCUAUGUGUCCCCCUCAGGCCUCUCCCUCAUUCCGACUGCAGCCCCUGUCACAUGUCCUGGGCACACCCAGGAUGACCCACACAGACACAUGAGCUGCGUGCUCUUGGCCCGGCAGGGUGAACAGCAGGGGUGGUGCCAUUUCCUGGGGAGCAGCUUGGCUGGACUGGAGGUUGGGGACAGUUGGAGGGUAGAGGAGCCGAUGCAGCUUCUCCAAGCUAGGCGGAGAUCCAAAGGAAACACAGCUGGAGACAGGAGAAGCAAGCCAGGUGACCCAGCUGACAUCCUGGGCAGAAACCCAGCUUGGCAUCCUAUGGCCACUGUCACCUGUGCUUACGUACUUGGACCAGAACAAGGGCUGGUGAACCAGGGCUGAGCAGGGACUCCAGCCAGCAGCCUGCUGUCUGAACACUCUGGAGUCGGCUUCCGAGACGCAGUGGUGGACUCAACAAAGCCCGAAAUACGAACCAUCUGGUGCUUUACCGGAAAGCUUUGAAGAAGCAGGACUGGAACCACGUCUGUCUGGACCAAGCACUUAGUGCUUUCCUGCCUGGGUCUCCGUGGUGCGCCGAACUCACUCUAGAUGUAGAAAAGCAUCUUUCUUUCUUUCUUUCUUUCUUUCUUUCUUUCUUUCUUUCUUUCUUUCUCUCUCUCUCUCUCUUUCUUUCUUUCUUUCGCUGGCCAUGUUUUAUUUGUCCUUUUUCUUCAAACAGGACAGCCAAGAUACAGACGUACAGAGUAAAAUAAAAUAGAUGGACAGAUCCUAAGAGACUGCGAUGCACAGGCUACAUUCAACCUGAUUUUAUUCAUGCUUGCCUUUGGGUGGGGAAUAGAUCAUUCAGUAAAAACAUACAGUAAAAACAAACAAUGUCUUACCAUGUACAACUUUUAAACUACAAUAAUUAUGUACCUUAAUUACUUCCUGCGCACAGGUCUAACAUUACAGUAUUUUUUAAAAAAUAAACACAAUUAAGACUUCUAGGAGGGCUGGGGAUGUGGCUCAAGCGGUAGCGCGCUCGCCUGGCAUGCGUGCAGCCCCGGGUUCGAUCCUCAGCACCACAUACAAACAAAGAUGUUGUGUCCGCUGAGAACUAAAAAAUAAAUAUUAAAAAAAAGACUUCUAGGAACAUUUUUAUCAUAAAUUAAUUCCUAAUUUUUCUUUGUAGAUAGAUCAAGCACCUCCAAAAUACAAAUUCCUAUCCACGGUGAGUACUUUACUUAAAAUGUAGGAAAGAUUUCUUCCCAGUCCCUCUGAGUGCUGGGAAUACUCCUUUCCCUCUUCAGCGGAAGGGAUUUGGGGGGAUUCUCGUCUGUCAUCCUUCAAAGCCAAGAAGUUUGGGGUCAGGGACACAACCAAAGCCCUUCCUCCAACAUCACUCUGACCUGUGAGGGCUGAGGACAGUUGUUGUUUGGUGCUGGGAUUGAACCCAGAGGGACUUUACCACUGAGCCACAUGUCCACUCCUUUUUAUUUUUUAUUUUUCAGACAAGGUCUUGCUAUAUUCCUUAGGGCUGAGGCUGGCCUCCAACUUGUAAUCCUCCUGCCUCAGCCUUCGGAGUCACUGGGAUCACGGGCGCGUACCACUGCAGCUGGCCUGAGGAUUUUUUUUUUUUUUUUUUUUAUAAAUUUUUUUUAAGAGAGAGAGAAUUUUUUAAUAUUUAUUUUUUAGUUUUCGGCAGACACAAUGUCUUUCUUUGUAUGUGGUGCUGAGGAUCGAACCCGGGCCGCACGCAUGCCAGGCGAGCGCGCUACCGCUUGAGCCACAUCCCCAGCCCCUGAGGAUGGUUUUGAGAGAAAGGGAAACCCAGGUAAUGGAGAGGGGCAGGCUAGUGGGCAGGUCCCUGGAAUCAGGGCACCUCUGAAAUGGAAAAGAACCAAAGGAAUGCCAUUUUGCUCUGACCUGCCUCCAUUUUAUGCUUGCUUAAACUGUCUUCUUUCCAGCCUCCUGACGCUGUAUCUGUGCUGACAGUACAGUAGGACCUUCCCGCCCCCUGACUAAGGCCCUGAUGUACAACAGAAAUGACUCUGAAAUGGAUAAUCAAAACAAUUCUCUCAUGUUACCAAAAUAUGUCUCAACAAGGUCUUUUCUGACCUACAUCUGGCUCAACUGUCUUUGUGGUUUUUGUGGGUUUUGCCUUUAUAAACUCUAUACUUUCAAAAUUCGGGAGCUGGGAGUUCUGGAAGGCGCUAGCCCGCUCCCAACCGCUUGCCUGGCACACUCAUUAAAGGACUUUUCCCCUUUCGA
Long non-coding RNA from Marmota monax (woodchuck), 2283 nucleotides. RefSeq lists it as uncharacterized. The transcript has 2 exons. The record is from RefSeq and is a predicted model, not a curated record. NCBI's taxonomy places the organism in Eukaryota, Metazoa, Chordata, Mammalia, Rodentia, Sciuridae.